Molecule: ribosomal RNA, 253 nt
Filed under: uncultured bacterium
Lineage: Bacteria
Description: partial 16S ribosomal RNA
Rfam family: Bacterial small subunit ribosomal RNA
Source: RNAcentral
UACGGAGGUGGCAAGCGUUGCUCGGAAUCACUGGGCGUAAAGGGCGCGUAGGCGGGGAUGUAAGUCGGGGGUGAAAUCCCUCGGCCCAACCGAGGAACUGCGCCCGAGACUGCUUCUCUUGAGUCCCGGAGAGGAAGAUGGAAUUCCCGGUGUAGCGGUGAAAUGUGUAGAGAUCGGGAGGAACACCGGUGGCUAAGGCGGUCUUCUGGACGGUGACUGACGCUGAGGCGCGAAAGCGUGGGGAGCAAACGGG